Artibeus jamaicensis (Jamaican fruit-eating bat) is the source of this 2666-nucleotide long non-coding RNA. RefSeq lists it as uncharacterized. The record is from RefSeq and is a predicted model, not a curated record. The transcript is spliced from 3 exons. NCBI's taxonomy places the organism in Eukaryota, Metazoa, Chordata, Mammalia, Chiroptera, Phyllostomidae.
CUCCAGACUUUUGCAAGCACCUCCCAAGACCACGGACCAAGAAGCAUUUCAGCCGGCACCUGCUGUGGCCCACCCCUCUGCUCCUUAACAGGGCCCCCAGAUCCUGAGCCUGCCCGAAGUCAGAUGGAUGGUGGUUUCACAUCAAAAGUGAGACCUGGUGUCUGAGUCCAGGGCAGCCGGGUCUUUGGCAGGUUUGCACACCCCUCCGGGCAUGGGGGGUGGCGACCGCCCAGUGGGGGAUGUGGGGGCUGAUGUGCGGCCCACAUGUGACCUGUGUGUUUAGAGAAGUGCGUGUGAGCCGACAGGCGGGCCCACUGCAGAGCUUCGGGGGGUGUGGCGAGGAGAGGCUCCCGCUGAACUGCCACAGAGCCGAAGCCCACAAGAACUUCCUUCUGAAAAAACGGGAUGGACGUUCAUUUCUCUAUCACAUGGAAGAAAUCUGGAAGCGAGCAGUCCCAGCCUGGCGGGCAUUCAGUAAUGGGGGCUGGCUUCCUGCAUCCUGCCGUAGCCCCCAUCCUAGUUCAUGACAAGGGUGUCGCCUAGGCCCAGUGCGGCUCUGGGGCUCCAGCCUCCAAGUCAGGACACAGACGGCUGGGCCCUGUGCACCUUCCUUAUCUGAGAAUCCUUUUCUCUUCACCGGUUCCCUAUGCUCGGCCUGCAGGCCUGCUAUUCAGGGCCUGGGUCCUCUCAGGACCACCGUAGGCCUGAGGGGCCAGGCACUGUCCUAGGGUGAGAUUCCAGGGCCUGGGAGGGCUGCCCCCCCAUCACCCCCCCCCCCCAAGCAGCCGAUGGUUAAAUGGGGGAAGUGGGUGGGGCUUGGCUGAGAGAGAUUUGCACACAAAACCUCAGAGAGAGGAGCUUAUCAACAACCUACUACCUGUCUGGCUUCCAUGCCCUCUUUCCCAGUGACUUGGAGAAGUGACGGCGUUGUCCCCUUCAGCCAGGGCAGAAACAGAGGACAGCCUGGCAGCCGAUGCAGUCCCGUGGCUGAAACGCCCGCGAUGCUGCAGCCUCAGCCUCCCGGAGCUUCCCAGUGCAAACCAGCCUGGCACCAAGGGCUGGGGAGGGCGGAACGCCCUCAGCGGCUCUGUCGGGCCAGUGGAUGUGAACGCCCCCUGCCAUCACCGCUUUCCCCUUCCACGCACCUGCCGCCCCAGCCAACCCACCCUGUGCCUCGGGCUAAGUGUGGCCGCCCCGGUGCCUGAUGCAGUGGCUGUGUCCGCUCCACCUCCAAGCCCGGCCAGUGCUGCUCCCCGCUGGGAGCUCCACCCCGGCAGGUGCACGGCGGCCUCCUGGGCCUCACUGCCCUGGCCCGAGGCAGUGGGCUGCCCGGGAACCCAGGGUCUCCAUGGAGGUGACAGACCUGCCCACGGACACUAGGUCAGUGGCUCACAUGCAAACCCAGUGUCCGAGGGGGUAGGUGGCCAGGGUGUGUGUGUACACGUGUAUGUAUUAUUGUAUUUAAUCUGAUCUUGACCAUUUCUUGCAGCAAUAUUUUGUCAACACCAUGGCAUUUGGCCAUCACCUAUAAUUUGCGUAUGUGCAACAUUUCCCAGGCUGCUGCUGGGGGUCCGUGGGCCGAUCGGUUGAGGAAAUACUGGUGUAGACCGAAUGUUGAGGAGCUCACACUCUGUAAUUUGGCCAACCAGCCCAUCAUCCCUGUCCCUUGCUCUCCCCAAACAAGAGAGCUUUUCAUUGAGAGAGUUCUGAAACGCUUUUUGGGGUUAGCGUGACAGGCCCCAGAAACCAGGCUGGAAGACCCCAGGACUGUGCAAGGGACGUGGGGCGUGGGAUGCGGAGCAGCCUGUCUGGGGCAUGCCCGGGCACAUGUGGCCCCUGUGCCAAUUGUGUGCAUGGGACAGGCCAAUGUCCACUUUGUGUGCAAAGGUCUGUUCUUUCCAGGAUUCGCACGCAGGGAGCGAGGCUGAGCCUGCCCGGUCCAAGGCACUUCUUUGGAGCAACGUCGCAGAGACAUGCGGGCUGGAGGGCAAGGUUCCUGUCUGGUCUCUGAACAAAGAGUUACUUACGGUUGCCCAGCCUUCAUUUGAAAAAGCUGCAUCGUGGCCACAGCCUCAGUUUCUCCCUCUGAAAACGGGGGUUCUGAUAGCUCCUGCCCCAGAGGACGCUGGGAGGAUCCCACAGGCUGACGCGUGCAAAGCCUGGGCAUAGCAGAGCACAGAAAGGGUCAUGGGCUCCGGGUCCCAGUUCCACGGUGGAUGUCCUAGGUGUGUGAGCCCUUGGAGCUCCAGUGGGCUCUUCUGGGACCUUGGAGGCCUUUGAGGGUCGAAUUAUCCAGGCUUGUCCUGGCCAGCAGAGGGGGUGGCCUUCCUCUGCCAUGCCUGCUAGUUGAUGGGCUCCUUGUGACAGCAGUUUUCAAUGGAGGCCGAUUCAUUCCUUCACUCAUUCAUUCGUUUGUUUGUUCACAACAUGCUUUCUUUGGGUUCAGCACGUGUCUGCCCUGGGGCCACCACAGGCACUGUGGCCAUCUUUAGCCUCAUGGGGCUUAGGUCCCAGGGAGGGAGACCAUUAGCCAUGUGCAAAUCGAGGGACAGUGACAGGGGUGGGGACAUCAGCACUUUAGCUCCACUGUCAGAUUGGUCCUGGGAGGGGCAUCGAAGAGACAGCCAGUGAAUCAGUGCCUGGGACACGGUCCGAGCAGAGGGCAG